This is a long non-coding RNA of Salmo salar (Atlantic salmon), 2716 nucleotides long. RefSeq lists it as uncharacterized. The record is from RefSeq and is a predicted model, not a curated record. Lineage: Eukaryota; Metazoa; Chordata; Actinopteri; Salmoniformes; Salmonidae.
CCUAGUGACGCACUUCCUGUCUUCAGCAGUUGAUUUAUCCGUAGCUUAUGUACUUAAUAUUGUAGCAUAGCUUCCCCGGUAUAUUAUAAAGGUUAUGCAUACAAAUAGCCAGUUCAACCCUAACAUUGUGAUGUUUUCUGUCCUCAGAUACAGAGAGAUGUGAAAGCCUGUCUGCAGAUGAAGAGGUCUCAAUUAAAAGCAGCGGUUCUUCGUGCUGGUCCUCGGGAGUCAAAGUGAUACCUUGCAACUGGAGAUUCCUUCAAAAUGAUUGCCUACAGUUACUGUGUAGGGCACUGCAAGGUUGGGUUCCAAGGCCGAUCUGGGACUGCCUCCUGUGGGAUUCAGGCGUGUGAAAGCUACCUGUGUCCUGCAUAACUUCAUGAGGAUGGACACGAGGACCAGGAGGGGAUCUGCGGCUUGCCGCCGUGUGCCAGAGGAGAGGUCUGCUGCUCUGCAUGAUGUUUCCAGGGUGGGGGCCAACAACGCAGCACGGGAGGCAAUCUUUGUGUGGGAGAUCUUCACCUCCUACUUCUUCGAAAAGGGUGCUGUUUGUUCCCUGGCAACACCGUAGACCACACUAUGCACAAAGAAAAGCUAUUUUAUGAGGCAUCCACAUUUUAACAAGAGUAUUCUCCCAUUUACUUAGCUAUGUCAAAUGCAGUUAUUCAAUUCCCAGUUUCUCUCCCUUUGAUUUCUACUUCUCAGGUGAGGAUGCUGUUUAGGUAAGGGUGUGAUGUCUGUACAAAAACAAAACAGGCUAUUUUAAAUCAAUCCAUAUUGAAAAAAUGUAGAACAAUUAGACACCCUAUAACCCACACCUACACACUCGUGUAUCAAUCUGAUGGAUUGUGUUAUGCAGUAAGCAGGCUCAGGUGUAUAACUGUGGCUCCCACCUUCAAAGAACAGGCAAGAGGGCCAACCAUGGAGAAUAAUAAGACACUUCAUUAUUUCUAUAACUGCGCUAUAUUGUUUGUCCUCGUGUGUCUGUGUAUGUUUUUCUGCUGACAGUGUGGACACCAGGUGAGGCUACACAAACAGAUUCCUGUUGAACACUGUCUAUUUAACUACCUUAUUUUCUCUCCUUCACUAAAUCCCUCUCCCCCUUCCCCCUAAAUCCUCUAGGUUAUAUCAGCUGUAUCAGCUGUGUCAGUGAACCCAUCCCGCAUCUGAACUGGCCAGGAAGUACCCGUGCUAAGGACUAUUCAGCGCUGGUCUGGCAAUUCAGAAUCCACACUUCAAGAUUGUUUUGAUCACACGGACUGGGAUUUGUUCCGGGUAGCUUCCGAGAGUAAUAUUACUGAUAUGGUGACUGAGUUUUAUCAGGAAGUGUAUAGGAGAUGUACCCACUGUGACUAUUAAAAACCUACCUUAACCAUAAACCGUGGAUAGAUGUCAGCAUUCGCUCAAAACUGAAAGCGCGAACCACCACAUUUAACCAUAGCAAGGUGACUCAAAAUAUGGCAGAAUACAAACAUUUUAGUUAUUCCCUCCGCAAGGCAAUCAAACAGGCAAAACGUCAGUAUGGAGACAAAGUGGAGUCGCAAUUCAACGGCUCAGACACGAGACGUAUGUGGCACUGUCUACAGAGAAUCACGGGCUACAAAAGGAAAACCAGCCACGUCGCAGACACCGAUGUCUUGCUUCCAGACAAGCUAAACACCUUCUUCGCCCGCUUUGAGGAUAGCACAGUGCCACCGACGCAGCCCGCUACUAAGGACUGUGGGCUCUCCUGCUCCGUGGCCGACGUGAGUAAGACGUUUAAGUGUGUUAACCCUCGCAAGGCUGCCGGCCCAGACGGCAUCCCUAGCCGCGUCCUCAGAGCAUGCGCAGACCAGCUGGCUGCAGACCUGCCAACAUGCAUGCAUUUUGCAUACCAACUACGCAAUUCUCUGUCCAUGUACCCAGGUACAAGAUCCAAGUUAAAAGUACGCAGAAAUGAAUAGGGCCAGAUUUUAUUUUUUUACAUUUUAAUAAAAAAUACAUCUGAGUAAAUCUAACAUCCCGAUUCUCGAGCUGCAACACAGACAUGUACGGAAUUUGUGUCAAUGGACAUGGAGAUGAAUACAUAAUUAUUUGACGUAGCUACCCCGUGUCUGGCCCUCCUGUUUGUUGUGAGUUUGCCGACUGUCAGCUGUACGUAAACACAUGGACAAAUCCCUUUUCGACUCCAUGUGUUGUGGGAAGGUAAACACUAAUUGUUUCAAGCUAAUGUUAGCAAACAUAAGAUGGACAUUCAGUGGGCUCUAAAGUGCCAGCAGUUCAUUUGCAUGUGAAAGAAAUUAAAUGCAAAUACGAAAAAUAACUGGUCGCAUUUGUGCAAGUGUGAAAUACAUUUAAUUCUGCGUCCCAUUAGUAGUAUUUUCCAUGUAACAUUACGAUGAUCACGCAACCUGAUAGACUAUAGCAGUAAUUAUGAUCCAUUAUCCUGUGUCCUCAGAUCAGUGCAGAUGAAGGAAAUAGAUAUUGAGAUGAACCGGUUUUAGAGUAUUUACAUGAUGCAUAGGAAGUGUAGUGUACAGUUUGUUAAUUAUAUUUCUGUAUAUAUGAAUUACAAAUCAGCCUGUAACUAGUUAAAUCAUAUUUCUAGUCUAUUACAGUUACAAUGUGUAACCAUUGAUGGACCAGGAUUGGUAAACAUUGUUGAAGUGUGUAAUUGUAAUACAUACAUGCAAACACAGCAUCAUUAAAAGACUGGAGUUUGAUACUCCUGGUAAAA